UAUAUUGCAAUUUUUAAUCUUUCUGUUUAUCUUCCGUUUUAAGUCCGAAUAGUUUCAUGUUCUCUCACUGAGUCACACACAAUGGCGCAUCUCUUUAGAGACCUUUCACUCGGCCACUCAAAGAGAGAGUCAACGCCCCCGCCACCGCCACUUCAAACUAAACCACCACCAAUGCCGACGAACAAGCUUACCUCCCCCGAUCUCCAAUCUCCACUCGGCCAACUCGCCUCUCAACUCACCGAUUCCGACCUUCGACUCACCGCUUACGACGUCUUCCUCGCCGUAUGCCGUACCUCAGCUUCCAAACCUCUCUCCACUUCCGCCUCUUCCAUUUCCGAUUCGUCGAGUCAGAACUCGCCUGGUCAAAACCACAACCACUCGCCUAGCUCCCCCGCGUUGCAACGCUCGCUUACGUCAGCAGCUGCUAGUAAGAUGAAGAAGGCUUUAGGUUUGAAAUCACCUGGAUCGAAGAAGAGUCCCGGUUCAGCUCCAAGCUCGGGCCAGGGAAAGUCUAAGCGGCCGACGACUGUAGGGGAGCUUAUGAGGAUUCAAAUGCGGGUACCUGAGAGCGUUGAUGCGCGUGUUAGAAGGGCGCUUUUGAGAAUUGGCGGUGGUCUGGUUGGAAGGCGGAUUGAAUCAGUGGUUCUUCCAUUGGAGCUACUGCAGCAGCUUAAGCAAUCAGAUUUUAGUGAUCAACAAGAAUAUGAUGCAUGGCAGAAAAGAAACCUCAGGGUUCUUGAGGCUGGGUUACUGUUGCAUCCUCGUGUGCCACUCGAUAAGUCGAAUAAUGCAUCACAAAGGCUACGGCAAAUCAUUCAUGCAGCUCUAGAUAGGCCAAUAGAAACUGGGAAGAACAAUGAGUCAAUGCAAGUUCUUCGCAGUGCUGUAAUGUCUCUUGCCUCUAGAUCUGAUGGGUCUCUCUCUGAUUCAUGCCACUGGGCUGAUGGCAUUCCACUGAAUCUUAGACUCUAUGAAAUGCUUCUCGAGAUGUGUUUUGAUAUUAAUGAUGAAACAUCCAUUGUUGAGGAAGUUGAUGAGCUUAUGGAACAGAUAAAGAAGACGUGGGUGAUCCUUGGGAUUAAUCAAAUGCUGCAUAAUCUCUGCUUUGCAUGGGUUCUGUUUCACCAUUUUGUUUCCACUGGGCAAGUCGAAAUGGACUUGCUAUAUGCUGCUGAUGGUCAGCUAGCAGAGGUAGCAAAAGAUGCCAAGACAACCAGGGAUCCAGAAUACUCCAAGAUAUUAAGUUCUACCUUGAGUUCAAUAUUGGGCUGGGCAGAGAAAAGACUCCUUGCAUACCAUGACACUUUUGAUAGUGGCAAUGUCUAUACCAUGCAGGGCAUUGUUUCUUUAGGUGUAUCAGCGGCCAAGAUUUUGGUUGAGGAUGUAUCUACUGAGUAUCGCAGGAAGAGGAAAGAAGUUGAUGUAGCCCGAAAUAGAAUUGACACUUACAUCAGGUCAUCGUUACGCACUGCUUUUGCUCAGAGAAUGGAGAAGGCAGACUCAAGCAGGAGAGCUUCCAAAAACCAGCCAAAUCCUCUUCCUGUCCUUGCAAUCCUUGCUAAGGAUGUUGGUGAGUUAGCAGUUCAUGAGAAGCAGGUUUUCAGUCCAAUACUGAAGGGUUGGCAUCCUUUGGCAGCAGGUGUGGCUGUGGCCACCCUUCAUUCUUGUUAUGCUAAUGAGAUAAAACAGUUCAUAUCAGGCAUCACAGAGUUAACCCCUGAUGCUGUUCAAGUACUUAGAGCUGCAGAUAAACUGGAGAAAGAUCUUGUGCAGAUUGCAGUCGAGGAUGCAGUAGACAGUGAUGAUGGUGGGAAGGCAAUAAUCCGAGAGAUGCCUCCUUAUGAAGCUGAAACUGCAAUUGCCAAUCUUGUUAAAGGGUGGAUCAAGACUAGAUUAGACAGACUUAAGGAAUGGGUUGACAGGAAUUUGCAACAAGAGGUCUGGAAUCCACAAGCUAAUCAAGAAGGAUUUGCACUCUCUGCUGUCGAAACUUUGAGAAUCAUUGAUGAGACUUUAGAUGCAUUUUUCCAGCUUCCAAUACCAGCACAUCCUGCAUUGCUACCUGAUGUGAUAGUUGGCCUUGACAAGUGUCUUCAAUAUUAUGUGAUCAAGGCAAAAUCUGGAUGUGCUUCACGCAAUACAUAUAUCCCAACAAUGCCUGCUUUGACCAGAUGUGAGAUUGGAUCAAAGUUCCAAGGUGUCUGGAAGAAGAAAGAAAAGUCACAAAAUACUCAGAAAAGAAAUUCCCAGGUUGCAACAAUGAAUGGAGAUAAGUCAUUUGGGAUACCACAGCUGUGUGUUCGUAUAAAUACUCUGCACCACAUCCGAUCUGAGAUGGACGUUUUAGAGAAGAGGAUUGUAACCCACUUAAGGAACUGUGAGUCUGCUCAUUUGGAAGAUUUUUCAAAUGGCUUGAGCAAAAGAUUUGAGCUAACACCAGCUGCUUGUGUGGAAGGGGUUCAGCAACUGUCUGAGGCAGUAGCUUACAAAAUUGUAUUCCAUGACCUAAGUCAUGUUUUAUGGGAUGGUUUGUAUGUAGGGGAGCCUUCAUCUUCUAGGAUCGACCCUUUAUUACAAGAGCUGGAGCAGAACUUACUGGUAAUCUCAGAAACCGUGCAUGACAGAGUUCGUACAAGGAUUAUAACUGAUAUCAUGAAAGCGUCCUGUGAUGGAUUCUUGCUGGUUUUACUAGCUGGAGGCCCUUCUCGUGCUUUCUCUCGUCAGGAUUCUCAAAUUAUAGAGGACGAUUUCAAAGCCCUUAAAGAUCUGUUUUGGGCCAAUGGUGAUGGUUUGCCUGCUGACCUCAUAGAUAAGUUUUCAGCUACAGUGAGAGAUUUCCUUCCCCUAUUCAGAACCGAUACAGAGAGCCUAAUUGAGCGGUUCAAACGUAUGACCUUGGAGGCAUAUGGCUCCUCCGCAAGGUCUAGGCUUCCACUACCUCCAACAUCAGGACAGUGGAAUCCUACUGAACCAAACACGCUCCUGCGGGUGUUGUGUUACCGGAAUGAUGAGGCAGCUUCAAGGUUCCUUAAGAAGACUUACAAUCUACCUAAGAAACUGAAAUAACCUGGGUUUGGUGUAUAGCGAACCAAGGCUGCAUCCUAUGGAAAAUUUGAGCUUGCAAUAUUCAUGUGAUUAUAUAUAUUUUGUGAGAUGGCCUAGACAAGAUGUGUAGCAUGUCAUUGCCAGUUAACUGCUAGGACCUAAAGACGUGGCGUUAAUCAUGUAUAGCAUACAGCGGUAAUAUUCGGGUGAAAUCCAACUGCUCUUUACUAUGCUUCAGAGUCCGAACAGACUUUCAAUGGCUUGCCUAUGAGCAUAGCUCUUCCAAGCUCAUCCGCAUUCAAAUACGGAUUCGACUGUAUGGACAAAACUGCAUUUGGACCAUUUAUUCCAAUGUUUUACAUAGAUUGCCUUUGAACGAUGCUAUUCAUUUGGGGGGUAUUUUUUCUCCGAGUGAACAAAAUGACUUAUAAGCAGGUUUGCCCCCGGCAGUUUUUGUCACAAGUUGGUAUUGUCCUCUUUGAGCACUCCACAGGUCUCCCAAAGCCUUUUCACCGGAAGGUGCAGCUCAGGCAGACCAUCCAGCUACACAAAGGCCACCUGGUUCAGCUGUUACAACUUGGCCGUUGGAUUCGCGGAAGUUCAGACACAGGUUAUAUAUUGUUGAGAGAUUCAUUGGUCUAGGAUAGCACAUCCCAGAGAAGAGCUACUUUAACUCAGCUUCAAUGAACCUAUUUUUCACAAGUCCAAUGGCGCCAUUGUUCCCAAGUUUUUAAACACUUUGGUCAAAUAAAUUAUCCACGAUUUACC
RNA transcript from Gossypium raimondii (Peruvian cotton), 3813 nucleotides. It is a transcript of the gene named protein unc-13 homolog, with no coding region annotated. NCBI's taxonomy places the organism in Eukaryota, Viridiplantae, Streptophyta, Magnoliopsida, Malvales, Malvaceae. The transcript is spliced from 6 exons. The record is from RefSeq and is a predicted model, not a curated record.